AGACCCGAAACCCGGUGAUCUAGCCAUGGGCAGGUUGAAGGUUGGGUAACACUAACUGGAGGACCGAACCGACUAAUGUUGAAAAAUUAGCGGAUGACCUGUGGCUGGGGGUGAAAGGCCAAUCAAACCGGGAGAUAGCUGGUUCUCCCCGAAAGCUAUUUAGGUAGCGCCUCGUGAAUUCAUCUCCGGGGGUAGAGCACUGUUUCGGCUAGGGGGCCAUCCCGGCUUACCAACCCGAUGCAAACUGCGAAUACCGGAGAAUGUUAUCACGGGAGACACACGGCGGGUGCUAACGUCCGUCGUGAAGAGGGAAACAACCCAGACCGCCAGCUAAGGUCCCAAAGUCAUGGUUAAGUGGGAAACGAUGUGGGAAGGCCCAGACAGCCAGGAUGUUGGCUUAGAAGCAGCCAUCAUUUAAAGAAAGCGUAAUAGCUCACUGGUCGAGUCGGCCUGCGCGGAAGAUGUAACGGGGCUAAACCAUGCACCGAAGCUGCGGCAGCGACGCUGAUGCGUUGUUGGGUAGGGGAGCGUUCUGUAAGCCUGCGAAGGUGACCUGUGAGGGUUGCUGGAGGUAUCAGAAGUGCGAAUGCUGACAUAAGUAACGAUAAAGCGGGUGAAAAGCCCGCUCGCCGGAAGACCAAGGGUUCCUGUCCAACGUUAAUCGGGGCAGGGUGAGUCGACCCCUAAGGCGAGGCCGAAAGGCGUAGUCGAUGGGAAACGGGUUAAUAUUCCCGUACUUGGUGUUACUGCGAAGGGGGGACGGAGAAGGCUAUGUUGGCCGGGCGACGGUUGUCCCGGUUUAAGCGUGUAGGUGUGUGUUCCAGGUAAAUCCGGUUCACUUUAACA
Molecule: ribosomal RNA, 846 nt
Filed under: Salmonella enterica subsp. enterica serovar Heidelberg
Lineage: Bacteria; Pseudomonadati; Pseudomonadota; Gammaproteobacteria; Enterobacterales; Enterobacteriaceae
Description: partial 23S ribosomal RNA
Rfam family: Bacterial large subunit ribosomal RNA
Source: RNAcentral